This 433-nucleotide ribosomal RNA is filed under the name uncultured bacterium. RNAcentral describes it as "partial 16S ribosomal RNA". It matches the Rfam family "Bacterial small subunit ribosomal RNA", at positions 29 to 507 of the family's 1533-position model. The record is from RNAcentral.
AAUGAACGCUGGCGGCAUGCCUAACACAUGCGAGUCGAACGAAGGCUUCGGCCUUAGUGGCGCACGGGUGCGUAACGCGUGGGAAUCUGCCCUUGGGUUCGGAAUAACAGUUAGAAAUGACUGCUAAUACCGGAUGAUGUCGUAAGACCAAAGAUUUAUCGCCCAAGGAUGAGCCCGCGUAGGAUUAGCUAGUUGGUGGGGUAAAGGCCUACCAAGGCGACGAUCCUUAGCUGGUCUGAGAGGAUGAUCAGCCACACUGGGACUGAGACACGGCCCAGACUCCUACGGGAGGCAGCAGUGGGGAAUAUUGGACAAUGGGCGAAAGCCUGAUCCAGCAAUGCCGCGUGAGUGAUGAAGGCCUUAGGGUUGUAAAGCUCUUUUACCCGGGAUGAUAAUGACAGUACCGGGAGAAUAAGCUCCGGCUAACUUCGUG